CAAUAGCGUAUAUUAAAGUUGUUGCGGUAAAAAAGCUCGUAGUUGGAUUUCUACCGAAGAUAGCCGGUCGGGUCUUCGACCUUGUAUCUGGUUUUGUCUUUGGUAUCCUCAUAGGGAACGUUUCUGCGCUUUAUUGCGUGGUGCGGUAUCUAUGACUUUUACUUUGAGGAAAUUAGAGUGUUCACGGCAGGCAAACGCCUUGAAUAUAUUAGCAUGGAAUAAUAACAUAGGAUCUUUGUCCUAUUUUGUUGGUUUCUAGGGCUAAGAUAAUGAUUAAUAGGGAUAAUUGGGGGCAUCUGUAUCAACGCGUCAGAGGUGGAAUUCUUGGAUUGCGUUGCGACAAACUACUGCGAAAGCAUUUGCCAAGGAUGUUUUCAUUGA
RNAcentral lists this ribosomal RNA (381 nucleotides) under uncultured eukaryote. RNAcentral's name for it is "partial 18S ribosomal RNA". It matches the Rfam family "Eukaryotic small subunit ribosomal RNA", at positions 592 to 976 of the family's 1831-position model. The record is from RNAcentral.